Non-coding RNA from Acanthosepion pharaonis, 116 nucleotides. NCBI's taxonomy places the organism in Eukaryota, Metazoa, Mollusca, Cephalopoda, Sepiida, Sepiidae. The record is from the annotation of a GenBank genome assembly.
UUACGGCCAUAUCACGUCGAAACAACAGCAAUUUUUGUCUGAUCACCGAAGUUAAACAACGUCGAGCCUGGUCAGUACCAAGAUGGGUGACUGCUUGGGAAUACCAGGUGUUGUAA